CUACAGAGGGUGCGAGCGUUAAUCGGAAUUACUGGGCGUAAAGCGCGCGUAGGCGGCUUAUUAAGUCAGAUGUGAAAUCCCCGGGCUCAACCUGGGAACUGCAUCUGAUACUGGUAAGCUAGAGUUUUGGAGAGGGAAGUAGAAUUUCAGGUGUAGCGGUGAAAUGCAUAGAGAUCUGAAGGAAUACCAGUGGCGAAGGCGACUUCCUGGCCGAAAACUGACGCUGAGGUGCGAAAGCGUGGGUAGCAAACGGGAUUAGAAACCCCAGUAGUCC
RNAcentral lists this ribosomal RNA (274 nucleotides) under uncultured bacterium. RNAcentral describes it as "partial 16S ribosomal RNA". It matches the Rfam family "Bacterial small subunit ribosomal RNA", at positions 523 to 796 of the family's 1533-position model. The record is from RNAcentral.